AGUCGAGCGAGCGGAACUAACAGAUUUACUUCGGUAAUGACGUUAGGAAAGCGAGCGGCGGAUGGGUGAGUAACACGUGGGGAAUCUGCCCCAUAGUCUGGGAUACCACUUGGAAACAGGUGCUAAUACCGGAUAAGAAAGCAGAUCGCAUGAUCAGCUUUUAAAAGGCGGCGUAAGCUGUCGCUAUGGGAUGGCCCCGCGGUGCAUUAGCUAGUUGGUAAGGUAAAGGCUUACCAAGGCGAUGAUGCAUAGCCGAGUUGAGAGACUGAUCGGCCACAUUGGGACUGAGACACGGCCCAAACUCCUACGGGAGGCAGCAGUAGGGAAUCUUCCACAAUGGACGCAAGUCUGAUGGAGCAACGCCGCGUGAGUGAAGAAGGUUUUCGGAUCGUAAAGCUCUGUUGUUGGUGAAGAAGGAUAGAGGUAGUAACUGGCCUUUAUUUGACGGUAAUCAACCAGAAAGUCACGGCUAACUACGUGCCAGCAGCCGCGGUAAUACGUAGGUGGCAAGCGUUGUCCGGAUUUAUUGGGCGUAAAGCGAGCGCAGGCGGGAGAAUAAGUCUGAUGUGAAAGCCCUCGGCUUAACCGAGGAACUGCAUCGGAAACUGUUUUUCUUGAGUGCAGAAGAGGAGAGUGGAACUCCAUGUGUAGCGGUGGAAUGCGUAGAUAUAUGGAAGAACACCAGUGGCGAAGGCGGCUCUCUGGUCUGCAACUGACGCUGAGGCUCGAAAGCAUGGGUAGCGAACAGGAUUAGAUACCCUGGUAGUCCAUGCCGUANACGAUGAGUGCUAAGUGUUGGGAGGUUUCCGCCUCUCAGUGCUGCAGCUAACGCAU
RNAcentral lists this ribosomal RNA (834 nucleotides) under uncultured bacterium. Its description in RNAcentral is "bacterial SSU rRNA". It matches the Rfam family "Bacterial small subunit ribosomal RNA", at positions 60 to 860 of the family's 1533-position model. The record is from RNAcentral.